UUGCUCGUUUUGGCAGCACAUACAUUAAAAUUGGAACUAUAUAGAGAAGAUUGGCAAAGCCCCUGCACAAGGGUGACAUGCAAAUUUGUGAAGCAUUCCAUAUUUAA
This 107-nucleotide small nuclear RNA is filed under the name Vulpes vulpes (red fox). The record is from RNAcentral. Lineage: Eukaryota; Metazoa; Chordata; Mammalia; Carnivora; Canidae.